RNAcentral lists this ribosomal RNA (497 nucleotides) under uncultured bacterium. Its description in RNAcentral is "partial 16S ribosomal RNA". It matches the Rfam family "Bacterial small subunit ribosomal RNA", at positions 28 to 507 of the family's 1533-position model. The record is from RNAcentral.
GACGAACGCUGGCGGCGUGCCUAAUACAUGCAAGUUGAGCGCUGAAGGUUGGUACUUGUACCAACUGGAUGAGCAGCGAACGGGUGAGUAACGCGUGGGGAAUCUGCCUUUGAGCGGGGGACAACAUUUGGAAACGAAUGCUAAUACCGCAUAAAAACUUUAAACACAAGUUUUAAGUUUGAAAGAUGCAAUUGCAUCACUCAAAGAUGAUCCCGCGUUGUAUUAGCUAGUUGGUGAGGUAAAGGCUCACCAAGGCGAUGAUACAUAGCCGACCUGAGAGGGUGAUCGGCCACAUUGGGACUGAGACACGGCCCAAACUCCUACGGGAGGCAGCAGUAGGGAAUCUUCGGCAAUGGACGAAAGUCUGACCGAGCAACGCCGCGUGAGUGAAGAAGGUUUUCGGAUCGUAAAACUCUGUUGGUAGAGAAGAACGUUGGUGAGAGUGGAAAGCUCAGCAAGUGACGGUAACUACCCAGAAAGGGACGGCUAACUACGUG